This is a long non-coding RNA of Prionailurus viverrinus (fishing cat), 247 nucleotides long. RefSeq lists it as uncharacterized. The record is from RefSeq and is a predicted model, not a curated record. The transcript is spliced from 2 exons. Lineage: Eukaryota; Metazoa; Chordata; Mammalia; Carnivora; Felidae.
AUCAUGACCUGAGCCGUAGUCAAGAGACAGAUGCUUAACCGACUGGGCCACCCAGGCACUCUGAGCAACAGCAGGAUGGACACUUCCAGCAAAGGUCUCAUUAUCAGUGAAGACAAUGAAGACAUCAGCAGCUGUGUUUGUCAUUUGAGCCCAGAUCAUCGGAAGAGAGCAAUCAGUUCCACCUGCUGGGAUCUAAUGCAAAACAAAAACAUGGAUUAGAAUAAAAGUGCCCUAGUUUCCAUACUGA